This is a long non-coding RNA of Galleria mellonella (greater wax moth), 1854 nucleotides long. RefSeq lists it as uncharacterized. The transcript has 2 exons. The record is from RefSeq and is a predicted model, not a curated record. Lineage: Eukaryota; Metazoa; Arthropoda; Insecta; Lepidoptera; Pyralidae.
AUUGAACGUUUACGUUGACCACACGGCGUUUUCUCUUUUUAACAGCGUUUAUUUUUAAAUUUAUUCAAUUUUUUUUUUCACUGAAGUGUGUAAUGUAAAAUAAAGUAAUACACUAUAAUCUUAAAAUCGAUGCAUCCAUAUAUAUGUGAUUCCCUAUCUAUAAUUAAUGAUAUGGAUUAACUAUGUAAAUAUUAGAUUAGAUAUGGAAUAAAAGUAGUGUAGUCCCGGCAUAGACUAGACUACUAGCCUUUCCCUUCCUAUGGAUACCAUAAAAGUCGACUAAGAGAAAACAAUGGUUAAAGGAUGGGUUGUAGCGUCCCUCUUUAAACAUUAUCACUCCAUUAUUAUCUAUUAAAAAAGGGCAAUAACGUGCGUGUUAUUAUUAUUAUUUAAUUGUCUAUGGUCGGUACUUUAUUGCGGCGUCUCAGUACUGUCACUAUCACUAUUUAGUUUGUACGUCACAUCACCAGUGUUGCCAACGUAGCCAACUGAGAAAUGCAUCUAGCCCUUUUUUCUUCAUUCAGUGGCACAAUACAAAGAGGCAAUAUAAAAAUAUUGCCAAGUAUAUCUCUUUAGGUCUGGGUGUUUUACAAAAAAAAGUAUUUACAAAAAAAAAGUAUUUAAGUAUGUCUAUCUAUUGUUUAGUACACAUAGUUGAAGCUCUGCUUGGCCUAAGACUAGAUGGCGCUGUGAUAUACUGUGAUAUUUUAUUUAUCCCCUAGCCUCGAAUCUAGCCCUAUUAUGUUCUUAUUUACUUAAGUAUUCACCAGAAACAAUACUAAAAAAAAUUAACUUCCAGAGUGGUUGAAUUAAAAACCAAAUUAAUAAUUGUCUGUUUUUAUUGCUUCUGGAUUUAAAAGUACACGUAACUAUCAAGCGUAUAUGAAUAGAUUGGUGAAUGUGGAGGAAUCGAAAGAGGUUUGUUUGAAGCGGAGUAUUUAGCGUUGCAUUGAUUCUGCCUACGCCAAAAGAACACAAGUAUAAUAUAUAGAUGUAAGCUAAAUAAAUUCAAUAUGCAUUAUUAGUAAAUCACAAGUUUUUUUAUGCAACUUAGAAUGGCAAAUAAGCUGACGGCCCACCUGAUGGAAAGUGGUAACCGUCGCCUAUAGACAUGAGCAAUGAACAAUGAAAACAAUUAACCAUGAUAGUUUCCAGCGAGAACCGCGAGGAGGUCGACCUGGUUGGGUAUAUUGCUAGCAAUGGGAUUCACAGUCUCUAUUACUAACAAUCCCUUUUCCCCCUACUAUUUCGGUUUAGCCCGAAAACAUCGAACUGUGUUGGCAACACUGCAUAGCAUAUCACACCUACAAAUAAUAUUAAUUGCACACUAUCAAAAGUACCUGUAUGUAUAAAAAUACGGUAUAUUUUUUGCGUAUAUAUUAAUAAAUCCUAUACCAAUAUAAAGUGACGAGAUAAGUCGUGUAGAAUGUGACACGCAUACCAGCUUUAUACCUAGCCUUUAACUGUCCACAGCAUCCCCCAUAAGGGGGUAUUUGCCAGUAUUAGCAGGCGGGUUGGCAACUGCAGUUUGGCUUUUGGUAAUACUUUAAGAGGGACGCUGUUGCCCAAAGAGAUAUGGCCUGGAAUAGAGCUGGUUGGAAGAGAACAUAUGAAUUAGUUGCACCGACAAGAGGAAACUAAAUAGAAACAAAAUACUUACAUCAAGCAUCCUGCGGUCGCCCUCGACUGCCUUCCUCAGCGCCGCCACGUCAGCCUCCAGCCGUGCCAGGGUGCCGGGCAGCUGUUCCAACACUUUCAAAUCUGGAUACCAAACAUGAAACCAUUUUAUUACACGACUGCCCAAUAGUUUAAAAUUGUGUUACAAAAUAAACUGACCUCAAUUGUGAAAAAUGA